GGGGAUGCAAUGGUUUCGACGGAAAGUUCCUUCCGAAAAAACAGGUAGAGCGUGAGACAGCUCUCUAAUCUCUCUCAAACACAUAUCUGCCACAUCAUUGGCACGCAAGGUUCAGAACGCUUUUGCGUCUCUGAGUUUUGCUCCUGCUCUCGCCUAAUAUAGCCGAGAGCCAUCCCUGCUCUUUCGUCGAGUGAGAGCGAUCGGGGUGUUAUAUUACUCGGCGCUCCUCAUCGUGCGGUUCCAACGUGGUGAGUGAGUACUACCGGAACACAGCUCGUCGCGUCGUCGCCGGACUUCGACGGGUGAAGACUGAUCGGCGACUAAACCUGUAGUUUUUUUCGGUUUCCCCUUUCCAGACAGGGGUUCAAUUCCCCUCAUCUCCACCA
This 386-nucleotide transfer-messenger RNA is filed under the name Patescibacteria group. RNAcentral describes it as "1-14-0-10-48-11 sp002793855 Standard tmRNA". It matches the Rfam family "transfer-messenger RNA". Rfam says of the family: Bacterial tmRNA, also known as 10Sa RNA or SsrA, is named for its dual tRNA and mRNA-like properties. Its role is to liberate the mRNA from a stalled ribosome. The record is from RNAcentral. RNAcentral also lists the same sequence under 1 other name.